RNAcentral lists this ribosomal RNA (253 nucleotides) under uncultured bacterium. RNAcentral describes it as "partial 16S ribosomal RNA". It matches the Rfam family "Bacterial small subunit ribosomal RNA", at positions 524 to 776 of the family's 1533-position model. The record is from RNAcentral.
GACGAACCGUGCGAACGUUGUUCGGAAUCACUGGGCGUAAAGAGCGCGUAGGCGGCCAGAUAGGUCCGUUGUGAAAACUCGAGGCUCAACCUCGAGACGCCGAUGGAAACCAUUUGGCUAGAGUCCGGAAGAGGAGAGUGGAAUUCCUGGUGUAGCGGUGAAAUGCGCAGAUAUCAGGAAGAACACCCGUGGCUAAGGCGGCUCUCUAGUACGGUACUGACGCUGAGACGCGAAAGCGUGGGGAGCGAACAGG